Long non-coding RNA from Gorilla gorilla gorilla (western lowland gorilla), 2326 nucleotides. RefSeq lists it as uncharacterized. NCBI's taxonomy places the organism in Eukaryota, Metazoa, Chordata, Mammalia, Primates, Hominidae. The record is from RefSeq and is a predicted model, not a curated record. The transcript has 3 exons.
CAGGGAGUUCUGCCCCUGCCAAGGGGUGCUGGCCACGCAGGAGGCUUAACCUGGCCGGCGCGGGAAUGGGGUGCAGAGAGCAAAGAAAUGUGGCUUUGAUCUUAUGGAUGCCUUACUUUUACAUUAUUUGUACAGUUCUUGCAGUGAGCUUUCCGGACCACUGUCUUGUAUGUUUCCUAAGAAAAGCAAAAAGGGAAGAGGUUGAAGAGAAAGUAGAUUUUCAGCUACAAACUUUCAUCCAUUAGCUUUCAGCUUAAGCAAAUGUGCGCAAAGUUGUCAUGGAUUUUUGCAGUCAAUAAAAACCAAGCAAGAAGACUGAAUCCCAAGUCAUCUGGUAUAAAUGGAAGCAGUUUCUGUGAUAGUUCCACCCGGUCAGAAGGGUCAUCCUGGCUUAGGAGAGGGGCAGAAGGGGAAAUGCACGCGUGGAAACAGGAGUGGGCAGGGAGGAUGUGACACUGUCCUCCUCACCAGGCCACGUUCCUGGCACCAACCAUAGUGUUUGUGAGGGUCAAUUUAAUUGUUCUUGUGCUCUGAUAGAGGAAGCUGUGUCUUUCAUCCCCUUGUAAGUUUUCACUGAUGAAGGGGGUCUUUUAUCUUCAUAUCUUGGGAACUACUGAAACUGUUUCAAAGAGUCAAAGACACCAAUAACUAACAGAAAUUCUUGUUUUCAGGGGCAGAUAAGAAAAGAAACAAUUUGCUGAAACUCCCUCUGCUUAUAACAAAACUGACUGAAAUCAGCCGGAAUCAAUAUGGCCAAAUGCAGUUUGCGCACAGCAAGCUUGCUGAUGUCACAGCCGAAUUUCUACUGCAUGUUUCAUACGAACUCCCUCCAAAUUUGCACAUGGGACCUACCAGGAAGCAUGAAGAGAGAGCCAUGCAUGCCUGAAGACUUCCCAGAUGUUCCCUUUGCUUCCACCAAUCACCUGCUAACCCCAGGAUCCAACCCUAAACCUUUUGUAAUAAAAUUACUGCCCUAAAGCCAGUACAAGACAGAAUUGAACUGGACUUCUGUUUCCUCAGAAGUUAACUUGCAAUGUGAAGUUUUUCUUUUCUCAUACACUUGGUGUCAUAGUGUUGGCUUCUAGUGCAGUGAGCCCCUUUUGCUGGAUAACACUACCUGGUAAUUUGACAUACUAGGUGGUUAGUAACUACUGACUGUCUCCAGGUUACAACACAGUUAUUACCUACUUGGGUGAAAAGAGAAGACAGGAAAUACAUUUUGGAGUUGGCUGGCAACCUGUUUACAAAGCGAUUUACAACAGUUCCUUAUUCUUAAGGGGCUAUUCUAAUAUAAGACCUCAGAGAAACAGUGCAGUGUGACAAAGGAGGAAUUUAUCAAAGGAGACAGAAAAAGCAUCAAGGCAAGCUGUGAAAUGGUGCUGUAGGAACCAAAUAGAGAGCCAAAGGAUCUCUCCGUCACUGCAGGCCCUUAGGGCUGAACUCUGAGAACACCACAACUUCACAGAGACUGCUGGUUUUCUGCAAUUAGCAGCAAGAGUCCUGACUCAGGGAAGUUGCUCUCCAGUCCAGACUAGCAAAAGACGGAGACAAUGGGCUCUGCAGAAGACAGAUCCAGACAAGCCAUGCAUGAUUCAUGCCACCUGCAGCCACACGGGUGUCAAUAUCAAGAACUUGCCAUAUGUCAUCAAGAGUGUGUUAAGUGAAACCUUCUCAAGAGUUAUUCUUUUGUGCUCUGUCCAAAUCUGGAGAACCCUUCCAAAUACUAUAAAGAUUGAUAUCUUGGCCGGGCCCGGUGGCUCACACCUGUAAUCCCAGCACUUUGGGAGGCUGAGGCAGGCAGAUCACAAGGUCAGGAGUUCCAGACCAGCCUGGCCAACAUGGUGAAACCCCAUCUCUACUAAAACUACAAAAAUUAGCCAGGCGUGGUGGUGUGCGCCUGGAAUUCCAGCUACUUGGGAGGCUGAGGCAGGAGAAUCACUUGAACCCGAAAGGCUGAGGUUGCAGUGAGCCAAGAUCACACCACUGAACUCCAGCCUGGGCAACAGGAGUGAAACUCCGUUUCAAAAAAAAAAAAAAAAGACUGAUAUCUUGACCAUAUAGAGACUCCUCCCAACUGAUCAUUUUUGUUCACAUUCUGUUGUACAGAAUAUGAACAUUUGGAAGGCAGCAGUCUUUCCUAAGAUUUAAAUGAUUGCCAAUAAUAUUUAAAUGAUCAUUAAUACUCAUUUAAAUUAAUAAUAAUAUUUAAAGUUAUUUUGGGGUGUACUGCAUAAUGUAAUCCUCAUGUCAGAAGACUUAAAGGGGCUCAAAAGGAAAAGUCACUGCAUUUGUUUUUGGUAAUAAACAUGCCCCACUUCUUACUUUC